Molecule: long non-coding RNA, 3245 nt
Filed under: Xyrichtys novacula (pearly razorfish)
Lineage: Eukaryota; Metazoa; Chordata; Actinopteri; Labriformes; Labridae
Source: RNAcentral
UGAAAAAUUGGUAACGCUUCAAGAAUUUGCGUGUCAUCCUUGUGCAAGGGGCCAUGCUAAUCUUCUCUGUAUCGUAUCCAAUUUUAGUAUAUGUGUUAGCGAACUAACACUAUUCUACCAGCACGGUUAGCAUUGAUAUGAACGACUCGAUACGAUGACGCCCUGCAGUCAAGGUGAAGGUUUCCCACGUCUUACAGGCAGUCGAAACAAUGAAAAUGCUUUAGGUGACUGAGGUCUGAGUCUUCCUGUUUGGGAAGUGCAGCUUAAAAAUUGAGAUCAGGGGGACUGUUUUCAAAAAUAAAACUCAUGUUUGUAACGAUUCAUGUCAUCCUUGUUAAGUGUCAGACAGCACUGAGUGACCUGCUGCUUGCGUGGUACUCCGCUCUCGCCGUAGGGGUUUGUAACGAUUCAUGUCAUCCUUGUUAAGUGUCAGACGGCACUGAGUGACCUGCUGCUCGCGUGGUACUCUGCUCUCGCCUUAGGGGUGCUGCCUUUUCCUUUUUUAUCGUGGAAGUUUAGAAAUGUUAUAUGGGGCUGAAAAAUUGGUAACGCUUCACGAAUUUGCGUGUCAUCCUUGCGCCAGGGGCCAUGCUAAUCUUCUCUGUAUUGUAUCCAAUUUUAGUAUAUGUGUUAGCGAACUAACACUAUUCUAUCGGCACGGUUAGCAUUGAUAUGAACGACUAGAUACGAUGACCCCCUGCAGUCAUGGUGCAGGUUUCCCACGUCUUACAGGCAGUCGAAACAAUGAAAAUGCUUUAGGUGACUUAGGGAAAACACAAGACUGAGGUCUGGAUCUUGGGAAGUGCAGCUUAAAAAUUGAGAUCAGGGGGACUGUUUUCAAAAAUAAAACUCAUGUUUGUAACGAUUCAUGUCAUCCUUGUUAAGUGUCAGACAGCACUGAGUGACCUGCUGCUUGCGUGGUACUCCGCUCUCGCCGUAGGGGUUUGUAAUGAUUCAUGUCAUCCUUGUUAAGUGUCAGACGGCACUGAGUGACCUGCUGCUCGCGUGGUACUCUGCUCUCGCCUUAGGGGUGCUGCCUUUUCCUUUUUUAUCGUGGAAGUUUAGAAAUGUUAUAUGGGGCUGAAAAAUUGGUAACGCUUCACGAAUUUGCGUGCCAUCCUUGCGCCAGGGGCCAUGCUAAUCUUCUCUGUAUCGUAUCCAAUUUUAGUAUAUGUGUUAGCGAACUAACACAAUCCUACCAGCACGGUUAGCAUUGAUAUGAACAACUUGAUACGAUGACCCCCUGCAGUCAUGGUGCAGGUUUCCCACGUCUUACAGGCAGUCGAAACAAUGAAAAUGCUUUAGGUGACUUAGGGAAAACACAAGACUGAGGUCUGGAUCUUGGGAAGUGCAGCUUAAAAAUUGAGAUCGGGGGACUGUUUUCAAAAAUAAAACUCAUGUUUGUAACGAUUCAUGUCAUCCUUGUUAAGUGUCAGACAGCACUGAGUGACCUGCUGCUUGCGUGGUACUCCGCUCUCGCUGUAGGGGUUUGUAAUGAUUCAUGUCAUCCUUGUUAAGUGUCAGACAGCACUGAGUGACCUGCUGCUCGCGUGGUACUCUGCUCUCGCCUUAGGGGUGCUGCAUUUUCCUGUUUUAUUGUGGAAGUUUAGAAAUGUUAUAUGGGGCUGAAAAAUUGGUAACGCUUCAAGAAUUUGCGUGUCAUCCUUGUGCAAGGGGCCAUGCUAAUCUUCUCUGUAUCGUAUCCAAUUUUAGUAUAUGUGUUAGCGAACUAACACUAUUCUACCAGCACGGUUAGCAUUGAUAUGAACGACUCGAUACGAUGACGCCCUGCAGUCAAGGUGAAGGUUUCCCACGUCUUACAGGCAGUCGAAACAAUGAAAAUGCUUUAGGUGACUGAGGUCUGAGUCUUCCUGUUUGGGAAGUGCAGCUUAAAAAUUGAGAUCAGGGGGACUGUUUUCAAAAAUAAAACUCAUGUUUGUAACGAUUCAUGUCAUCCUUGUUAAGUGUCAGACAGCACUGAGUGACCUGCUGCUUGCGUGGUACUCCGCUCUCGCCGUAGGGGUUUGUAACGAUUCAUGUCAUCCUUGUUAAGUGCCAGACGGCACUGAGUGACCUGCUGCUCGCGUGGUACUCUGCUCUCGCCUUAGGGGUGCUGCCUUUUCCUUUUUUAUCGUGGAAGUUUAGAAAUGUUAUAUGGGGCUGAAAAAUUGGUAACGCUUCACGAAUUUGCGUGACAUCCUUGCGCCAGGGGCCAUGCUAAUCUUCUCUGUAUUGUAUCCAAUUUUAGUAUAUGUGUUAGCGAACUAACACUAUUCUAUCGGCACGGUUAGCAUUGAUAUGAACGACUAGAUACGAUGACCCCCUGCAGUCAUGGUGCAGGUUUCCCACGUCUUACAGGCAGUCGAAACAAUGAAAAUGCUUUAGGUGACUUAGGGAAAACACAAGACUGAGGUCUGGAUCUUGGGAAGUGCAGCUUAAAAAUUGAGAUCAGGGGGACUGUUUUCAAAAAUAAAACUCAUGUUUGUAACGAUUCAUGUCAUCCUUGUUAAGUGUCAGACAGCACUGAGUGACCUGCUGCUUGCGUGGUACUCCGCUCUCGCCGUAGGGGUUUGUAAUGAUUCAUGUCAUCCUUGUUAAGUGUCAGACGGCACUGAGUGACCUGCUGCUCGCGUGGUACUCUGCUCUCGCCUUAGGGGUGCUGCCUUUUCCUUUUUUAUCGUGGAAGUUUAGAAAUGUUAUAUGGGGCUGAAAAAUUGGUAACGCUUCACGAAUUUGCGUGCCAUCCUUGCGCCAGGGGCCAUGCUAAUCUUCUCUGUAUCGUAUCCAAUUUUAGUAUAUGUGUUAGCGAACUAACACAAUCCUACCAGCACGGUUAGCAUUGAUAUGAACAACUUGAUACGAUGACCCCCUGCAGUCAUGGUGCAGGUUUCCCACGUCUUACAGGCAGUCGAAACAAUGAAAAUGCUUUAGGUGACUUAGGGAAAACACAAGACUGAGGUCUGGAUCUUGGGAAGUGCAGCUUAAAAAUUGAGAUCGGGGGACUGUUUUCAAAAAUAAAACUCAUGUUUGUAACGAUUCAUGUCAUCCUUGUUAAGUGUCAGACAGCACUGAGUGACCUGCUGCUUGCGUGGUACUCCGCUCUCGCUGUAGGGGUUUGUAAUGAUUCAUGUCAUCCUUGUUAAGUGUCAGACGGCACUGAGUGACCUGCUGCUCGCGUGGUACUCCGUUGUAUACAGAUUUUAAAAACUAUACUGUAAAAAUGUUUUCGUUUUUUUUUGACAUUU